This 255-nucleotide ribosomal RNA is filed under the name Tepuihyla edelcae (white-lipped bog-frog). RNAcentral's name for it is "partial 16S ribosomal RNA". It matches the Rfam family "Bacterial large subunit ribosomal RNA", at positions 2518 to 2830 of the family's 2925-position model. The record is from RNAcentral. Lineage: Eukaryota; Metazoa; Chordata; Amphibia; Anura; Hylidae.
UUACGACCUCGAUGUUGGAUCAGGGUAUCCCAGUGGUGCAGCCGCUACUAAAGGUUCGUUUGUUCAACGAUUAAAACCCUACGUGAUCUGAGUUCAGACCGGAGUAAUCCAGGUCAGUUUCUAUCUAUAACGGAAUUUUUUCUAGUACGAAAGGACCGAAAGAACAUGGCCUAUACUCUAUGCAAGCCAUAAUUAUCAACUUAUGACCAAGUCUUAAUAAGUACAUGACCCGCCACCCACCUCAAGAAAAGAGCA